RNAcentral lists this ribosomal RNA (98 nucleotides) under Myotis brandtii (Brandt's bat). Lineage: Eukaryota; Metazoa; Chordata; Mammalia; Chiroptera; Vespertilionidae. The record is from RNAcentral.
GCAGGUGGGCAGACCGCCCUGAACGCCCCCAUCCCCUCUGAUCUCGGAAGCUAAGCAGGGUCGGGCCUGGUUAGUACUUAGUACUUGGAUGGCUUGCU